GCCUCGGUAGCUCAGUCGGCAGAGCGCGUGCCUUUUAAGCCCGUGGCCGCGGGUUCGAGCCCCGCUCGAGGUG
Molecule: non-coding RNA, 73 nt
Organism: Perkinsus marinus ATCC 50983
Lineage: Eukaryota; Perkinsozoa; Perkinsida; Perkinsidae
Source: Rfam